Long non-coding RNA from Pseudoliparis swirei, 1742 nucleotides. RefSeq lists it as uncharacterized. NCBI's taxonomy places the organism in Eukaryota, Metazoa, Chordata, Actinopteri, Perciformes, Liparidae. The record is from RefSeq and is a predicted model, not a curated record. The transcript has 3 exons.
GUGCUGCAUGGAGGAAUGCUCUCCUGCUGUUCAUUAACAGGCGGGUCGGCGGUCCGCUCCUCCGCUGCCGGGCGCCUCGCAACAUUAACAUUCUGGAUUUACAUUUUUUUUCUCAAAGCUCGAGGUCACACAGUGCAGAUGCUCGAUGAGCCUCAACUGUGAACAAAAACCCCCUAAAAAACCCGUUGUGUGGGAGAGGCGGAGGGCGACGCUGGAACGUUUGUUGUGUAAAGAAUGAUGAGAUGACGACGCUCAGUCAACGUCUAAAACACGAGAAACUUUCAACCAGGGAUUCACGCUCGCCUGGUCACUUUAGUUGACAUGACGCCAUCUUGGAUUCACGCUCGCCUGGUCACUUUAGUUGACAUGACGCCAUCUUGGAUUCACGCUGCAGCGACGCGAGCCGACGGCGUUUGAACUCUGGAACGCACAAACGAUGAGGUCAUCGCCUUCAAGGGGGAACUAAGGAAAACAAGACUUUCAAAGUUUUAAGGCCGUUGUCGUUGCUCCUGCAGCGCCUCCUCCUGCAGCGCCUCCUCCUGCAGCGCCUCCUCCUGCAGCUCCUCCUCCUGCAGCGCCUCCUCCUGCAGCUCCUCCUCCUGCAGCUCCUCCUCCUGCAGCUCCUCCUCCUGCAGCGCCACACUCCUCCUCCUGCAGCGCCUCCUCCUCCUGCAGCGCCUCCUCCUCUCAACACAAACUAACUCCUUUGUGUUUGAUUGUUUAAAUCUCUCGAUGACAGACGCGCGGCCCACAAAGUGGAGAACCGACCGACGCUGACGGAGUUCAUCCUCAACGUCGGAACGUCGUUUGAUAUUUUCUUGUCAUUCAUUGAGCAGAAAUUACAAACGUUGAAUCUUCUCUUCACUGAGAUAUUCAGAUUUAAUCAUGGAUGUCUUUAUAUUUAAUUUCAGUAUCACGAUCUCGGUUAACUCAGAACGCGAGGAGGUGAACUUCGGCUCACGUGACACGUCGAAGCAUUAAGAAAGAUCCUUAAUUAACACUUUAGAGUCCCUGAAAUCUCUUUUUUUUUUAAAGUUUAAGAACUUCAAACAGGAGCUCUUCAACGUUCACCUUUAAAUCAUUUUGGUGAAUCGUAUCGGCAAAUGAAAGCUUUAAUGUAGCUACAACAGAGCUACAAUAGAGCUACAAUAGAGCUACAAUAGAGCUAUAAUAGAGCUAUAAUAGACCUACAAUAGAGCUAUAAUAGAGCUACAAUAGAGCUAUAAUAGAGCUAUAAUAGACCUACAAUAGAGCUACAAUAGAGCUAUAAUAGACCUACAAUAGAGCUACAAUAGAGCUAUAAUAGACCUACAAUAGAGCUUUAAUGUAGCUACAACAGAGCUACAAUAGAGCUAAAAUAGAGCUAUAAUAGAGCUACAAUAGAGCUAUAAUAGAGCUUCAAUGGAGCUACAAUAGAGCUUCAAUGGAGCUACAAUAGAGCUACAAUAGAGCUACAAUAGAGCUUCAAUGGAGCUACAAUAGAGCUACAAUAGAGCUACAAUAGAGCUUCAAUGGAGCUACAAUAGAGCUACAAUAGAGCUUCAAUGGAGCUACAAUAGAGCUACAAUAGAGCUACAAUAGAGCUACAAUAGAGCUACAAUAGAGCUACAAUAGAGCUACAAUAGAGCUUCAAUGGAGCUACAAUAGAGCUACAAUAGAUGAUGCAAUGCUUGUGUUUCUUCCACCUCACUAUCUUGACCUUUAAGUUAUUUAAAUGACAAUAAAUCACGUCAUAAACACGC